UUGACAUGUAAUUUGUCCUGCUGCCUGUUGGAACGUUCUUUUUCAGAUGCUGGAGGAGCAUGACAGAGGAGAGGUGGAGGAGAGUCCUGCUCCUCGCUUAGCUCAGCACAGCGAGUCCCCUGGCUUCAGCUUCCCUCCUGAGCACCUGACGGUUGUCGGUUUACUGUGACUCACUGCCAUUCUAUCUGCCUGGGCUUAUGUUUCCAGCAUCUCACCAGAGCUGUUGUGACCCAUCUCCUGGGCAAAGCCUUCCACGGAGAGGCUGCCGGGCCAGCAGGAGAGGAGACCCAAUCCAUCCAUCAGCAUUUGAAUAAUUCCAUCCACACAUACUUCUCUUCCAAACACCCGGGCUAUUUUCCUUUCCCUGAGCCAUGCAAGCCCAAGGAGCCAGCAGGGUUGCGUGCUCUCAGGAGUAGGACACGUCACAUCAACUUGAGUGCUCCAGGAGCCCUGCCACAAUGGUUUCUUUGUGAGAUCAUCUUUGCAGCGGUUUCCUGAAGCUCUGGCCUCCUUCCUGGUAUCUUCACACAUUCUAGGUGUUUCAAUUCAGUAAAAACAUAAGGGCCUUUUGACUGCUCACUCCUGCACUUCACACUGGGAAGGACACAGAAGUCCCCAGAGAGUGCCCUGGACGACAAAAUGUAGUUCAGAGGUAUCUAAGGUGGGUUCCACCCAAAAGGGUCCCACAAAGAAAGAAUUCCAGGGCCAAUUAAAUUUGGGGAUCUGCAUAGUCCAUCUCUCUCUUGGUGAUUCAAAACAUAUAUUUAUAUAUAUUAAAGGUUCUGAGAAGUCCUGUAAGUAAAUCCUGUUCCACUUUUUAACCCACCAUCUCCCAAACCCAGCAUGAUACUGAUAUCAGCAUGCUACUCUUUUCAUAUAACACCUACUUAUAUAUGAAGGAACUAAUUGAGGUCUUUUGAGAUAUAUUUUAGGAAAUGAUCUAACAGUGGUUUUUAACCUAAGGAAACACCUCACUAGAGAGUGCUUGGGCACAGGAGGUGGCAUUUUGGGUUGUCACAAAGAUGGGGAGGUGCUACUUGCAUUUCAUACAUAGGGGUUGUGGGGGCAGGGGCAGCUAGUGCUGUUACAGUGAUGAUGCAAUGCGGCCCCGUCCCAAGUGGGGUGGGGGGCACUGUCCUGCCCUAAAUGCCCACAACUCUCCCCACGCCGCUCUCCCACCCCAUUGAGAAGCAGUGGUUGGACCUACGCUCAGCAUUGUGCUCCCAGGCCCUCUCUGCGGGUUCAAACGCCUCUUGAUGUCCUCUUGGU
This 1269-nucleotide long non-coding RNA is filed under the name Homo sapiens (human). Its description in RNAcentral is "HSALNT0210688". The record is from RNAcentral. Lineage: Eukaryota; Metazoa; Chordata; Mammalia; Primates; Hominidae.